Molecule: long non-coding RNA, 5407 nt
Organism: Marmota monax (woodchuck)
Lineage: Eukaryota; Metazoa; Chordata; Mammalia; Rodentia; Sciuridae
Exons: 2
Source: RefSeq, a predicted model, not a curated record
GAGCCAAUAUCAAGGUGUUAGCAGAGCCUAGCUCCUUCCCAAGGCUCUAGAACCUUCUGUGCUCCGUGGGACUGUUGGUAGAAUUCAGUCCCCGGAGGUCAUGAAGCCAAGGCCCUGUUCCUGUGCCAGUGGUGCCUACUACAACCUACAAUCCAGCCACACGCAUGAUGAUCCUUCUUGUACCUCCCAUCUGUCUGGGAUCAUCACAUCUUUGAACAUUACAUCUCCUUGGCCAUCCUUCUGUCCUCCUCUUCCUCCUUUAAGGACUCAGGUCAAGUUAUAUGGGUAGGAUUGAGCCUGCCCUUCCCUCUUUCUCCAAGGAGAUCUCAAGAUGAGGUGUUGGAAGUUUGGGCCAUACUCAGUGACUCUCAAAGCAUGAUGUUCAACAACGGCUUGAAAUAAAUGAGGAAGACAAGCAAAACCACUGCAAGGCAUUUCGUUCCUUCCACAAGCUGCCAAAGAAAUACAGCAAUUGCCAAAGAAGAGACUUUAAUUGUUCAUAGAGAAAAAUGAGAGCUGACCAGAUCGACACAGAGUUACUGUGAUGCUUUAUGAAGACCUGGCAAUUCCCUCAGGUCACAGACCCAGCAAUUACUGUAAUCCCCAGCCUAUACAUAGAUGGACUUUGUGUAGAGGGAGGGGACUUCUGAAGAGAACCCCAAAUGAUAAUAGUGGCAUUUAACAUAGAACACACUUUGUAUUUUUUUCUAUGCUUCCUCACCUUUGUUAUAAAAAUGCACCUUUUCCAAAGAAUUCAGAUUCAGUGAAAAAUGGGUUAAAGCAAUCUGAGAGGAGCUCCGAACCAACACAAUGCAGGAGACUAGACAUUUUGUUGCCAAUAGCUGCCUGAACACUCAAAUGAAGCAUUCUGCGGUGGCACAUGGUGCACCUGGCAUGCACCAUCUGACAUGCAUGUUGGUAUGCACAUCUCACAUAUUCACUAGAGCGCUGUAUGGCUGGCACCUAUACUUUCUUCUGUACUUAUAGUGAACAAUGGAUGACUUUUUAUAACUUCAGUGACAGUACAUAACAUUUUCAUUUUAAGUAGAGUCCAGGAGAAAGUAAAGAAUCUUACAGCUCAUGGGAGUGCUAAUUGGAGCCAAUUAUAAUUUGAUUGACCCGCCUUGCUAUUAAAAUGAUAUGCAAAAUUUACACUGCCCUUGCAAAAUGGAAAUUUUCUUCAGAACAAGCUAACGAGAGGAAGCCCACCCUUUAAUGAAUCCAGAGGUGGUACUUUUGGGCUAUAAUUCCCACAUCAACCCUCACAAGCUAAUUCUGGAGAGGGGCUGUAGAGGGCUGCAAAUGAUACAAAAGAACCCUGUAGAUGGGGAAAAUGUGCAAUAAAAUAACUGAAGUAAUUAAGGACUAGGGAAUAAAGGAACAGCAUCACAAUAACUGUCCAUUCCUCAUUAGGUCUCAUUUUCUUUUAUGAAAAUUUAAACUCUUUUUAAGAAAUGUCAUGGGGCUGAACUGUUCUCUUGCUGUGUGGCUGAUUUUUUAGAGGCAGAAUAAAAUGUCCAUUUUCAGCGGUAAAUAGAAAUGAGGUCAUUAGCAGAAGAUGAAGUCACCCUGCCACAUUGUCUUCUUACCAGGGAUAAUAAAUGACCCCUUAGGACAUUGGAGAAAUUUAUGCUUUAUUCCUGUCUUGCUUACACCCAUGUAUACACCCACAUGGAGCACUGGCCCUCGGUAUCAGUUGCACAUCAAACCUUUCAUCAAAGCAAAUUCAGCACCAUUUUAAAAGGAAGCUCCAUCUUUCUGAUCUAAAUUUUCCAAAUGACUAGAUAAAUAAAAGGUGAUGGUUUCAUUGUCAAUUACACUAUGGAAACAGUGCAAAAGCACCUGACUUUUAAGAAAUAGUGGCUAUUUAAUAUUUGAUUAGAAAAGGGCAAGCAAUUAAGCCUGAAUAUCUGAAAUAAACAUGGGAAUGAGGAAAAGUGAUACCCAAAUAAAUCAAUAAUAAAAAGUAAUUCCUGUGUGUCCUCCUACUUAGGAGGGCUCUGUCAAUGCUAAUUUCUUUGGACUCAAAGGAUAGGCUGGAGAUUUCACACAGCAUCAAGUUCAAGUCAGAUACAGAAGGCACUUAACAGGCUCUGAGGAAAGUGGUAGAAAACAGAGUUGAAAAAUCAGCAUUUGUGCUACCUCAAGGUCUCUGCUUCUUAUGCAAAGUAAUAAAUAUGUACUCUUACACACACAUUGGUUCGCUGCCCCCACAGUUUCUAGGCCUCCACUGUCUCCGCUAUGCAGAGAUAUAAGGAAAGAUCUAUAUCUAUCUCACCAUUGCACUGUAGAAAUUCCUUGCAAAGUCUGGGAAACAAAUGACAGCAGCACUUUCUGCAGUUUUAAUAAUUCAGCCCUAAGAAAAGGCUGUUGGUGUUAAACAGGAUAUGUGUGCAUGUGUGUGACCACUCAAUUUCAAAUUUCUCAGAAAUGUCUUAUUUGUGUUGUGUUUGAACCUUAUGGGAACUUUUCAGCUCUUUAAUUUUAAUUGACAAUAACUAUAUAUUUUUAAAUGAGAUAUGACAUGAUUUUCCAUAGAGGUAUAUAAUGUGAAAUGGUUAAAUCAAGCUGAUUACCGUAUCUAUUAGAUCACUAUCAUACUUAUCAUAAUUUAUAAGUAUCAUAGUUAUCAUUAGUAAAAGUACCAUAUACUAAAUAUUUCAUGGUGAGAACAUUUAAAAUCUACUCUUUGGGCAACUCUGAAUUGUAAGAUACCUUAUUUUUAACAAUGCAAUAGAUCUCAAAAUCAUAAUCCUCUGUCUAAUGGAAUGAAACUUCUCUCCCUUCGACCAAUCUGCCCAUUCCCCUGUUUCACACGUGGUAACCCACCAUUCUACUCUCUGCUCCUAUAAUUUCUAUUUUUUAGAUUCUACAUAUUACUGAGAUCAUGUAGACUUUGUCUGUCUGUGCAUGGCUUAUUUCACUUAGCAUAAGGUCCUCCAGUUCCGAACAUUCAGUUGCAAAUGACAGAAUUCACUUCUUCUUAAAGACGGAAUGUUAUUCCUUUGUGUAUACAUACCACAUUUUCUGGUCCCUCUACCAGUUGAAGGGUGGAUUCCAUAUCCUGGUCCUUGUGAAAGAUGCUGCCAUGGACAUGGGAAGGUACCUCUGUCUCCAGAAAUGGUCUCAUUCUCAUCUUUGAUUGCAACUAUUUACCACACUGACCAACCAGCAUAUCGAUCAAAUCUUCAUACUGCUAUUACUUUACAUUAGAUGCCUUUUUAUUAAUCUCUCCCUCUUUAUUAUACACCAUAAUCAAUGUAAAGAAUAUUUUCUGGACAAGGAAAGAUUCAUGACUAAAGGAAUGAAUCUUUGUAGCAUACUCACAAUUUCUAUUUUCUUUUUGGGAAAAAAAGAAAAAUGAAAGAAAUUAAUUCAAUUAGUAAAUACAAAUGUUGCUAUAGUUCAGGGACAACUGUAAAUAGAACCAUCAUACUUAAUUAAAUAUUUGGAUUGGUUUAAAAGAGUAUUCUCCUUUAUAACCACUGAGAGCUACUUUAUAACAAUUGAGAGUAACCCAGUCUCCCUUCCACUAUUUGCAUUGAUCAGGAACAAGGAACAGUUAGAUGAAACUUAGCUAGAAAAUAAUAUGUUUCUUUUAUUCUAUCCACACCUUUUACUUAUGAGCCUCUUGAAAAUGAUGGCUGUUUAUAUCACAUGAGAUUCUUUAAUGUUUUUCUGAUCUAAAAUUGAUUUCUACUAGUAGUUGUCUACUCUUGAAGUUAAAAGGGCUUUCCUUAUCUCUUAUUUAUCAAAAUUCCCCCUUAUAGUUUACUAAUAUGUCAUUUUCAGUAACAGACCAAUAUGCUGUGUUAGCCAAUAAAGGCAUAUAAGUAAGAAUGGGUGGCAUUUGGAGGUGGGCUGUGACCAGGCAACAUUGUAACUACAUGGUUCUGUAUAAGGCAACAUUGUAACCAUGGGAUUCUCUAAUGCUGGGUCCUGCAUUGCACAAAUCUCAGGCGACUGUUUCUGGCUAAUGGAUUAGUGACCUUUCUACUCAAUUCUCAAGGAGAAAACUAUUCUGAUUCAUGCUCUAAUGCAAAAAAAAAAAAAAAGAAAAUAUAAUGCUUCAGUAUGAUUUGCAAACUGUAGAGCAAGUAUCCAUUGAGGUAGGUAGAGUUUAAAAAAGAAAGAAAGAAAGAAAAAGAAAAGAAUUCAACUUAAAAUAGGCAGCUGAGCUCAUUUUGUCCCAGGCAAAAAGGUUUCAAAAUUCAUGCCAUAACUCUCAAUUGUUAAAAAGGGAAUGGCCUUUUAAAGUGACCCGAAUAUUUAAUAUAAUCUAAGUAUUGUGGUUCCAUUUACAGUUGACCCUAAAUUGAAGUAGUUUAUAUUUAGUAAUUCAAUUAAUUCCUGUCAUUUGCAUUCCCCCCCAAAAGAAACAACUUAAAAUAGAAUGUAAAAACACCUGUGCUUUUCUUUAAAAAUUUUUUUGUCGACUCCAAAUAUAUUUACCUGAAACAAUACCAAGAAAGAAAAAAAAAAAAGAACAAAGUAAAGAAAAUCAAUGUAACCACCUGCUCCUUCUUUCAGACAUUUCUCUAUAAGGCAAUUCUAAUAAAGGAAGCAGGCCCAUUUGUGAAAAGAAAAACCAUCAUGCAAGUAAUUUUCAACCAACAAGAUGCAAUGUUUUUCUAUCAAGAAAAAAAAAAAUAAGUAGACCUGCAGUUGAAGAGCAAAGGGCUCCACCUUGAUCAAAGGCAAGAAUCAGUUACCUAGGAAUUCUGAACUCUUUGACAUAAAUGUUCACUGUUCCUCUUCCCCAUGGAGGAAUAGUAAACUUCAUUCUAUCAACUACUAAUUCAAUCGUGCACCUUCAAUAUAUUUUCCCUAAUGAUACUGUUUUUCUCUUUUCCAUAAAUUCAUAAGAAAUAAAUUGUUCUGCUGAUUUCCCUUGUUUCCUUUCAUUGUUUUCUUUAAUAUGAUGUCAGGUGAUAUAAAUAUCUCUAUUUUUUUUUUUUUUUUGCCAAUUACAGUCAGGCAGUCUCUGGUCUACAGCAUGUGACAGCAUUGCCUCUAUUUUAGUUGCACUGUCAAACUCAAAUCCUCUGCUACAAAGAGUUUUCCCAUCUUCUAGAGAUCCUGUUGUUUAGGACCCUGAGAAUUUUAACUGCCACACUGGUUUUGUAUUGUAUUUUAUUUUAACAACAUAUCUUCUGGGCAAUUUAUGAGCAAGUUAAUUUCUUUCACCUCUUUAUUUUAUUAAUUCAAUUAGCUGACCCUCAUCUGGCAGGCAAUGAACUUCAUAACUUCACCUUGAGUGUGUUAAAUAUUUAGACUACAAUGUUUCUCAUCUAGUGACCUCAUAGCUAUGUAUCGUUUCUAAUGCUCAUUGACACACGUCUUGCUUGGGCUUUGCUAACAAUAAUAAAUGUAUUGUUUCUCUUCAGAGAAAUAUUUUCAAACUUAA